Ornithorhynchus anatinus (platypus) is the source of this 138-nucleotide non-coding RNA. Lineage: Eukaryota; Metazoa; Chordata; Mammalia; Monotremata; Ornithorhynchidae. The record is from Rfam.
GCCCUCUCAGGGCCGCACCUGGAGACUUUCCAGUAAUCUACCCGACUCGACUAGGGGAGGGAGAGUCAAGCAGAGGCCUGUCCAUUCCAUUCCUAGCUUGGGCAGUGGCUAGUGAGUGGAAGGCCAUCUGCUACAAGU